GCCAGUGUGGUAUAGUGGUUUGAGUGCUAGACUAUGACUCCUGGAGACCAGGGUUCAAAUCCCCACUCAGUCA
Non-coding RNA from Phrynosoma platyrhinos (Desert horned lizard), 73 nucleotides. The record is from the annotation of a GenBank genome assembly. Lineage: Eukaryota; Metazoa; Chordata; Lepidosauria; Squamata; Phrynosomatidae.